RNAcentral lists this ribosomal RNA (483 nucleotides) under uncultured bacterium. Its description in RNAcentral is "bacterial SSU rRNA". It matches the Rfam family "Bacterial small subunit ribosomal RNA", at positions 36 to 518 of the family's 1533-position model. The record is from RNAcentral.
CUGGCGGCGUGCUUAACACAUGCAAGUCGAACGAAGCAACUGUCACGAUCCCUUCGGGGUGACGACUUGUUGACUGAGUGGCGGACGGGUGAGUAACGCGUGGGCAACCUACCUGUACAGGGGGAGUAACAGUUGGAAACGACUGCUAAUACCGCAUAAGCGCACAGCAUCGCAUGAUGCAGUGUGAAAAGUUUUUUCGGUAUAAGAUGGACCCGCGUCUGAUUAGCUAGUUGGUGAGGUAACGGCCCACCAAGGCGACGAUCAGUAGCCGACCUGAGAGGGUGACCGGCCACAUUGGGACUGAGACACGGCCCAAACUCCUACGGGAGGCAGCAGUGGGGAAUAUUGCACAAUGGGCGAAAGCCUGAUGCAGCCGACGCCGCGUGAGCGAAGAAGUAUUUCGGUAUGUAAAGCUCUAUCAGCAGGGAAGAUAAUGACGGUACCUGACUAAGAAGCGCCGGCUAAAUACGUGCCAGCCGCCGC